AUUGAACGCUGGCGGCAGGCUUUACACAUGCAAGUCGAACGGCAGCGCGGGCUUCGGCCUGGGGGCGAGUGGCGAACGGGUGAGUAAUACAUCGGAAAGUGCCCAGUAGUGGGGGAUAGCGCGGGGAAAGCGGGGUUAAUACCGCAUACGACCUGAGGGUGAAAGCGGGGGAUCUUCGGACCUCGCGCUAUUGGAGCGGCCGAUGGCGGAUUAGCUAGUUGGUGGGGUAAAGGCCUACCAAGGCGACGAUCUGUAGCUGGUCUGAGAGGACGACCAGCCACACUGGGACUGAGACACGGCCCAGACUCCUACGGGAGGCAGCAGUGGGGAAUUUUGGACAAUGGGCGAAAGCCUGAUCCAGCAAUGCCGCGUGUGUGAUGAAGGCCUUCGGGUUGUAAAGCACUUUUGGCGGGAACGAAAAGGACUGUGCCAAUACCACGGUUCGAUGACGGUACCCGCAGAAUAAGCACCGGCUAACUACGUG
RNAcentral lists this ribosomal RNA (484 nucleotides) under uncultured bacterium. Its description in RNAcentral is "partial 16S ribosomal RNA". It matches the Rfam family "Bacterial small subunit ribosomal RNA", at positions 29 to 507 of the family's 1533-position model. The record is from RNAcentral.